UUAGUUGAAGCCAAAUCAGAGGCAUGUCACUGUUAAUGACAGUAUUGAGUUUAAUCUCCAAUUAAG
This 66-nucleotide transfer RNA is filed under the name Claassenia sp. 2 YNX-2023a. RNAcentral's name for it is "tRNA-Asn". Lineage: Eukaryota; Metazoa; Arthropoda; Insecta; Plecoptera; Perlidae. The record is from RNAcentral.